AAUAUAAGAAUAAUUCAGAUGAGAUAUUGAAUAUAGUUAUAAUAUGUAUUUAUAAAGGUGCAUUAAUUAAUAUACGGGUGGGCAGGUGCGUGUAGUGUGUUUACAAUACCGGUUUUAUUGUCUCGAUGCGAAUGAUAUUAUAAAUAUAGGAAUAUUAAUAGAAAAAGUCGGACAAUUGUGUGACAAAGUUAGGGUAAAAGGGACGUAUUUCAUAUCGGUGAGGAAUUCAUUAUACAUUUCGCCAUCUUGAAAGUUUAAUAUUACAGACAGACGAAAAAAAAAGUAACAACACUUUCAUGUCUUCUGUGAUUGAUUGAAAUAAACCACAUGACUGGAAAUAGCUAGAAGCGUUUGCGGUGAUCUACCAUAGAAGUGUUUAAAUUUUGGUAUUAAUAUUGUUAGAGAGGGGAGUUUUUAUUAAAAAGAUAUUGUAACACGGGGAUCAGAUUAAUUAAUAGUCAUGGUGGACACCUUUGGUGUAAUCAUGUACAGUGAAACCCCGCUAUCUCGAGCAUGAAUAAAUGGGAACUAUAAGCAAUGUGUGUGAUCUAGUUAGAUUCUGUCAUCUAGAGGGGAAAUAUGUUCUACAGUCGGAUCUCACUAUCUAUAACAUGGUUACAACAAGAACUGAACUAAAUCUGAAGUAGAAGAAGAUAGUGUGUUUAAGAUAAUUUCUCUCAACCAGUCGUGGACGGCUAGUAGGCAGGAAAACUAAACAACAAAGAAAUAGACAGGGCAUAUGACAUAGGAAAACUGAGUGACGAUACUAUAGUAAAACCCCGUCUUCGAAAUAUAAUUUGUCAAGGUAUAGCCUGAGAUUGUCCAUAAAUUCAAAAUGAAUACAGAUGUUAGUACGACAAUGCGUGCUCGUCGCGUAGUAUAUGAUGAUUACACCAAAGGAUUUUAUGUAGAAAGUCGCGUGGAAGCUCUGCACAGACAGGUUGACACUAGAGCUAAAUUAACCAGUGUUUUAAAUCGUUCCCAGGACUGUAAGUUGGAAUAUUCUAAAGGGAAGGUCGAAGCCGCUCGAGGGAUUUUCACCAGGAAAACGGAAAGUGAGAUUGAUCAUCAUAAAGGUAAUCUGAAGGACUACGUUGCACAUAGACACAUUUUGGAUAGAAUGGCGGCCAUCAAUAAACGCAAGGGUGUGAGCAGUGCUUUAGGGAAGUAUGGUAUCGGAUGCGCCAAGGUUGACAUUCAACCUUUGAUAGAUAGACAGGUUAAAGAGACAACCCCGUCAGCCACAAGGAGGCGAGAAGCUAAAAAACUAGUAAAAAAACGCAAAAUGGUUGAAGUGUGGGAUCGAAACCUGAGUACACCAGAAUUAAUUAAUGCCGGAAAAAAUAACGUCCAAAACUCCCGCCAAAAUACGAAAGAUUGUAUUCGCACGCGUAAAUCACCGCAUAUAGUUCUCCCUUCGUUGAUGCCACGAUCAUUAUCGACAGACCUGGUUUUCCAUUCAUCAUCUUCGCCAGGACAAUCACACAAAAGCCCAGAACUAAUAUUACCGUCAGUUUUCGUUACUCUAAAACCUGAACGAGAGAUCUGAUAACCACCAUUUUAGAAAUAACCCCAUUGUGUGUUAUAAAUUUUCGCAUUCUCAAUUCGAACCUAGUUAGGCUUGUGCAGGGCCGGAUAAAGACCCAUAGAGUCCCUAAGCACUUACAAAAUUUCGGUGGCCCCAUGUAUAAGUAAUUCAAAUCAUAAACAAUAAUAAACCAUAAACAAACCGUCAUGCACGUGAUUGGAUUUUUUAAAGAGGUUUUAUACACGCCAUUAUUAACUGAGAUAAAGCAGGUAACAAAAACAAAAAAAAAAACAUUUAAAAUAUAUAUUUUACAUGUGACAUCUAACAAAAUCGAAAUUCUGUGGUGCUGAUUUUGCUUUAUUGUUAUUCUAGCCCCGAGCCUUAUUAACUAGACGACGUCCAUGAAUGAGAAGUGUUAUCAGAUGUUCUAGAAACGGUUGUUAUUUUAUAUAGAUUUUGAAAACUAUUUACACAGGCGCGGAAGAUUAUUUUUAAUAUUUUUGUGUUUGCUUUUAUAUUUGUAUUAAAUUAUAGUUAUUUAUAUUUGCUCGUUGAUAAAUUGUAUACAUAUA
Long non-coding RNA from Patella vulgata (common limpet), 2100 nucleotides. RefSeq lists it as uncharacterized. NCBI's taxonomy places the organism in Eukaryota, Metazoa, Mollusca, Gastropoda, Patellidae. The transcript has 3 exons. The record is from RefSeq and is a predicted model, not a curated record.